CCGCGCAGCAAAACUCACCGGAGACCACGCCGCUGUCACCGCAGGCAAACCAAAGCCAGCCGGAGAACAACUUCCAGCAAACCCGCAGAUCCUGACACCAACCUGGGAGUGCCUCCUUCGUCACAACCAGACUCCCCUGGGCUUUUGGAGACCAGCCGUCUCUUCCAAUCGCUCGCUAGAAACUCGCCUGCUCUAGGGAAGAAGACCGUGAGAGUGCGUGCUGACCCGCUGCAGGGAAAGCCAGCACAGCUGAGGUCCUGCUGUUUACACGGAUGUGUACCGCGCACUGUGGGAGACUGCAUCCUGUUUUACUCUGAUUGCUGGUGCCCAUGUCUGACUGAAUAUUGCCAAGGAAUAGCUACUACUUAAAAUUGCGGGAAAGAUGAAAUGAGGAGAAACUGCGUCCCCUGAGAUCCACGCCAUGUUGGAACUUAGGGCACUGAAAAACCAAGCAACCAGCUCACCAAGGCUGUGGCUCCAGGCUGCAGCCGCCCCAGGGUGAGAACCAGCAGCAUCUCCUGAGAUCCCUCAUGUUGGAACUUGGGGGCUGGGAAGCCGAGCAACCAGCUUGCCUCCCUGGUAACCUGUUGUGAAGUUCGGUACCAAUUUCACUACACUGUCUAAAUUGGCUUUGUUCUGUUGUAUUUUACUACCUCCAAAAUAAUAAAAAUUUUUAAGAAGUUCCCG
Molecule: long non-coding RNA, 687 nt
Organism: Cavia porcellus (domestic guinea pig)
Lineage: Eukaryota; Metazoa; Chordata; Mammalia; Rodentia; Caviidae
Exons: 4
Source: RefSeq, a predicted model, not a curated record